RNAcentral lists this ribosomal RNA (397 nucleotides) under uncultured bacterium. Its description in RNAcentral is "partial 16S ribosomal RNA". It matches the Rfam family "Bacterial small subunit ribosomal RNA", at positions 523 to 918 of the family's 1533-position model. The record is from RNAcentral.
AUACGUAGGGGGCGAGCGUUGUCCGGAAUGAUUGGGCGUAAAGGGCACGUAGGCGGCGCGGUAAGUCUGGAGUGAAAGUCCUGCUUUCAAGGUGGGAAUUGCUUUGGAUACUGCCGCGCUUGAGUGCAGGAGAGGUUAUCGGAAUUCCCGGUGUAGCGGUGAAAUGCGUAGAGAUCGGGAGGAACACCAGUGGCGAAGGCGACUUACUGGGCCGUAACUGACGCUGAGGCGCGAAAGCGUGGGGAGCGAACAGGAUUAGAUACCCUGGUAGUCCACGCGGUAAACGAUGAAUGCUAGGUGUUGCGGGUAUCGACCCCUGCAGUGCCGGAGUAAACACAAUAAGUAUUCCGCCUGGGGAGUACGGCCGCAAGGUUGAAACUCAAAGGAAUUGACGGGG